Molecule: ribosomal RNA, 508 nt
Filed under: uncultured bacterium
Lineage: Bacteria
Description: bacterial SSU rRNA
Rfam family: Bacterial small subunit ribosomal RNA
Source: RNAcentral
CAGAGAUGCUUUGGUGCCUUCGGGAACUCUGAGACAGGUGCUGCAUGGCUGUCGUCAGCUCGUGUUGUGAAAUGUUGGGUUAAGUCCCGCAACGAGCGCAACCCUUAUCCUUUGUUGCCAGCGGCUCGGCCGGGAACUCAAAGGAGACUGCCGGUGAUAAACCGGAGGAAGGUGGGGAUGACGUCAAGUCAUCAUGGCCCUUACGGCCAGGGCUACACACGUGCUACAAUGGCGCAUACAAAGAGAAGCGACCUCGCGAGAGCAAGCGGACCUCACAAAGUGCGUCGUAGUCCGGAUUGGAGUCUGCAACUCGACUCCAUGAAGUCGGAAUCGCUAGUAAUCGUAGAUCAGAAUGCUACGGUGAAUACGUUCCCGGGCCUUGUACACACCGCCCGUCACACCAUGGGAGUGGGUUGCAAAAGAAGUAGGUAGCUUAACCUUCGGGAGGGCGCUUACCACUUUGUGAUUCAUGACUGGGGUGAAGUCGUAACAAGGUAGGCGUAGCGAG